UUCAUUAAAAAAAAAAAACUAUUGUCAUGCAUUUACUCAAAACCGAUAAUAAAAUCAUUAAUCAUACACACUUUUAAUAUAAGUAUCAACACGUAGAUAAAAAUCUAUUUUCUAGAAAAUCAUUAAAUCGGAGCAUUAAAUACUUCUUUAUCAAACAUGAUGUACUAUAUCGUAAAAUCAUAAUAUAUUAUGAAAAUAGAUUUUGUAGAUUCCACUGACAGUGACGAUACUUUAGACUCGGCAAUCAUCCACGCUCGCGACUGGUUUUCGCUCGUGGAUCCUCCUAAAUCAAGAAAAUGACAUAAUUAUUUUCCGUAAAUAUGAUUUAGGACUAAAUUUAUGCAAUAAACUUGAAAUGAACAUCUAUCCACAAUUUAUAACUCCCACAUCGAUAAAAUUAUCAAAAUACACUUGCAUCCAUAAAUCAUUAAAAUACUUCGAAAUCUAAAUCACUAAAUUACCGUCGGAAUCGUAAUUACAACCAAUCCUCAAUUUCAGAAAUUACUAAAAUCUCGACAGAAUUGUAAAUUACAAAAUUGCCCUCAAAAUGUGAAAUUAUCGAAUUGCCUUACCGAUCAACGGUGACUCGAAUUCAACCAACAAUGACCGGGAAGCUCGGGUUAGACACUUUUGACCGAGCUAAGUUUAAUGGUAACAAUGUGAGCUCCCACAUGCGGCGACGGUGCCAGCAUCAAUCUCGAUAGCCGUGAAACUUCAACAGCUGAACGGUGGCAAACCGGUGAUUGUGGAUGGUUGGAAAUGAAAGGUGGUGAUGUGAGGAGUAAAACCCGGCUGGUGGAGUGGCCUAAUUCCAAUGAAAUCAGCAGCAAUGAUGAUGUGUUUUGGCCGCGACUUUUAGUGCUGGAAACGGCAGCGUUCCGGUCAAUUUUUUGUGACAGUGACGGCAGGGAGUGAUGGCCGGCUUAAGAGCUUUCAUUUGUUACCUUGCAUGGCCGAUGAGGUGGCCGGAAAUCGGAGAUAUGGCCGGGUCAAUUUGGCGGGUUCGGGUUGAGUUUUUGGGUCGAUUUGACAACUUCUUCUCUCUCUUUGUGCUCCAAACCUUUUAUUUAUUUAUUUUUUUUCUGUAACUGCCCUUUUUUUUUCACAUAUGUGACAUAUAACGUCAUGAAUAAUUAAACACAUUAAUUAUUUACUUUUGUUACAUGUAUAAGAAAAUUUUUCUCCUCCUUCCCAUAUUUUAAAACAAAUAGAUAACAUAUGAAUACUAAAGAGUUAUGUUCCAAGUACAACAACCAAAAUGGUCAUUUUCAUUUUUUCCGAUGAAGCAUUUCAUCCCGUAGAAAUAGAAAAAUUUAAUAAAAGCAUAUCAUCCGGUGAGCAUUACUACUUUUAAGAUUAUUAGAUUAUUUGUACAUUAGUACCCAUUAAACAAUACAACACAAUUGUGUAAAGAUAAUAAUUUAUAGAGUAAUGAUCUCAUAGGCAAUAGUGCUCACCUUAUGGUCAGCGACAAUAUCACGUGAUGAUGUCUAAUUAAUCUACACUUUUGACAUUAUUUAAAGGAAGCCACAAAAUUCUACCUUAUGUCCAAGUACAUACUCCCAUAUGGUAGACAUUGGUACUCAUUAGAUCAUAUUUUUAAUUUAUAAGACAUUAAAUUGACACUCUCACACAAAAUAUAAUAUAGAAACAAUAUUUCAAUUUCAUAUAUUGAAUAGAUUAGAAUAAGCAUAAGAGAUAUACCAAAAUGUUCUCGAUGAUAAUUUGGCAAAAGGAUGCCUACAGAGUCCUACACUUCCAACAUUUGGGAAAAUGGUCACAAAGACGCAUUAGUUUUCAAAAAGGAACACUAAGAUCCCAUUUUAACUAUAAUAUCCUUUGAUUUAGUAAUUAGAAAUUUGACUUUAAAAUUUUUUAAUUAAUAUCGAAUUGCCUUACCGAUCAACGGUGACUCGAAUUCAACCAACAAUGACCGGGAAGCUCGGGUUAGACACUUUUGACCGAGCUAAGUUUAAUGGUAACAAUGUGAGCUCCCACAUGCGGCGACGGUGCCAGCAUCAAUCUCGAUAGCCGUGAAACUUCAACAGCUGAACGGUGGCAAACCGGUGAUUGUGGAUGGUUGGAAAUGAAAGGUGGUGAUGUGAGGAGUAAAACCCGGCUGGUGGAGUGGCCUAAUUCCAAUGAAAUCAGCAGCAAUGAUGAUGUGUUUUGGCCGCGACUUUUAGUGCUGGAAACGGCAGCGUUCCGGUCAAUUUUUUGUGACAGUGACGGCAGGGAGUGAUGGCCGGCUUAAGAGCUUUCAUUUGUUACCUUGCAUGGCCGAUGAGGUGGCCGGAAAUCGGAGAUAUGGCCGGGUCAAUUUGGCGGGUUCGGGUUGAGUUUUUGGGUCGAUUUGACAACUUCUUCUCUCUCUUUGUGCUCCAAACCUUUUAUUUAUUUAUUUUUUUUCUGUAACUGCCCUUUUUUUUUCACAUAUGUGACAUAUAACGUCAUGAAUAAUUAAACACAUUAAUUAUUUACUUUUGUUACAUGUAUAAGAAAAUUUUUCUCCUCCUUCCCAUAUUUUAAAACAAAUAGAUAACAUAUGAAUACUAAAGAGUUAUGUUCCAAGUACAACAACCAAAAUGGUCAUUUUCAUUUUUUCCGAUGAAGCAUUUCAUCCCGUAGAAAUAGAAAAAUUUAAUAAAAGCAUAUCAUCCGGUGAGCAUUACUACUUUUAAGAUUAUUAGAUUAUUUGUACAUUAGUACCCAUUAAACAAUACAACACAAUUGUGUAAAGAUAAUAAUUUAUAGAGUAAUGAUCUCAUAGGCAAUAGUGCUCACCUUAUGGUCAGCGACAAUAUCACGUGAUGAUGUCUAAUUAAUCUACACUUUUGACAUUAUUUAAAGGAAGCCACAAAAUUCUACCUUAUGUCCAAGUACAUACUCCCAUAUGGUAGACAUUGGUACUCAUUAGAUCAUAUUUUUAAUUUAUAAGACAUUAAAUUGACACUCUCACACAAAAUAUAAUAUAGAAACAAUAUUUCAAUUUCAUAUAUUGAAUAGAUUAGAAUAAGCAUAAGAGAUAUACCAAAAUGUUCUCGAUGAUAAUUUGGCAAAAGGAUGCCUACAGAGUCCUACACUUCCAACAUUUGGGAAAAUGGUCACAAAGACGCAUUAGUUUUCAAAAAGGAACACUAAGAUCCCAUUUUAACUAUAAUAUCCUUUGAUUUAGUAAUUAGAAAUUUGACUUUAAAAUUUUUUAAUUAAUACAAGUUUAAUAUAAAUAAUAUAAUCUUACAAGUUUAAUAUAAAUAAUAUAAUCUUACAAGUUUAAUAUAAAUAAUAUAAUCUAUGUAGUAGACUAAUAAUAUUAAAUCAUUUUAGCAUUUAAAAUAAUACUAAAAUAUAAAUUAUUGCAUUUUUUAAUAAUAUAUUUGUUUCUAUUAUAAAGAUUUUUUAAAAUUUUUUUAGGUUAAAUAGAUUUUACAAUUAACAAAAUAUAUCCCUAUUAAUAAUAUUAAAAUUAUUAUUUUUACAUAAUAUUCAAAAUAAUUUUAAUUUUAAUUUAUUUAUUGUAAUAUUAUGUUUCUAUUUAUUAUUAGAAAUUACUUUAAUUAUAAUAAAAUAGGUCUAAUAGAUUGUAAAAUAUAAAAAUAUUUUUUAAAUAUUAAAAUUAUUUUAAAAUGUAGAUAUUAUUACAUUUAUUUUAAUGUCAUAUUUCUACUUAUUAUAAAAUUUUGAGAUUAAUUAUUUUGGAUUUAUAGAGUUAAAUGAUAUUAUGGUCAAAAGAAGGUCAUGGUGUCCCUUAUUAAAAACUUGGGAAUCUUUUUAAUUAUUUUUUCGAAUCUUGGGAGUGUAGGUAUUCUUUUCCCUAUAAAUUUUAAAAUACAAAGAAAGAGUAAUACUAAUAAAAAAACUUAUUUUAACAAUAACUUAAAAAAUUUCCUGAAAAUUUUGAUCUCCAUGCCCCUUUACAAGACAUGUAGCAUGCACAUAUGAGUCAAAAUGCACGUUAACGGUGAAGCUACGCCUAUAUAAAUGGCCAAUAAUUGGCAAUGUAAUCUUGAUAUGGUACCUUUUUUUCUUUGUGAAAAAUAUGAAAACUUCGAGGUCAAGCCACUCUCCAAAAUUCAUAUCCAUUUUCGUUGUUAAUCGUCAUCUCUUAUAGUUUGCUUGAAUUACUUCCUGUGUUAAUUUAUGUUCUCAGUCAUACGAAGAAGCAAAAUAUCAAGAAGUUACAAAUAAUAAAAUUCAGCUUAUUAGUAAAGUAACUAAUUUGUCUAACAAGUGAUCGCAUUAAAAAGUAAAUUAAGAGAAAUUCGAACAACACUUGCAACCCUAAGGGCCUAUUUGGGAUUGUUUUUAACAAGCUCAAAAGUGAUUUUAAAAAGUUAAAAAUUAAUUUUAGUACUUGGUAAAUUUUCUUAGAAAUCACUUUAGAAAAAAUUACUCCAUCCUAAAAUAGAUUUUAAAAAGUAGGGUAACUUUUCAAAAUCUGAUUUUGAAAUCAGUUUUAUUCUUAAUACUAUUCCAUAAAUAUACCUAUAUAGAUUAUAAAAAUCUAAAAUUAUUCUUAUUAAUUUGGAAAUAAAAUCUUUAACUUUAAAGAAAUUAUUACUAUCAAUUAUAUAAGAUAACAAAAUAAAAAAUAAAAUUAAUAACAUAAAAUAUUUAUUAUAUAUAUAUAUAUGUUUAUAGAUAUGAGAAUAAACUUUAUUUAACAUUAUGUCUAAUUUAGUUUGUUAGUUCUUACAGUAGCUUAACAAUAAAAUUUACUAAACUUAUAUGAUUGCUUUUAAAACUUACAACACUUUUAAAAAUAAAAUUUACUAAAUGGUUAAAUGAUUCUCUUCGUAGCAGAUUAUUUUUUAUUCCAUAGCUAACAUCAAUUAUUUUUAAAAGUUAUAUCAUUACAAAACUGGCAUAAAGUAAUUUUAAACCUCCAUAUCUCUAUACUAAAAAUAAUACAAAAUAAAAAUUGAAUGAAAGUUGUAUGAGAAUUAAACUAAGUACUCACCGUAUAACUCACCGUAUAGUGAGAGAUAGAAGGAGAUAUAUGAAUUUUCUUUUCCAUUAAGAGUAAAACCCUCGAAAUUAUUUGUUUAAUUAGUUAAAAAAAUUACAUGAAUAUGAUGAUAUUUAAUAAGAAGAUUGUUAUUUUCUCCCACUAAAAUUGAUAUAUACUACUGAUCCCUUACUGUUUUCAAAAUAUGCAAAACCUUUUUCGCACCAUAAUUUUAUAGUAUUACCUUUUUUAUUAUAUUUUUAUUUAGAUUUAUUAUAAAUUAAAUAAAUAUUAUAAAUCCUAGUUAAAAUAAAAAAUUUUAAAUAAUAAAAAUAAGAAAUAUAGGUUUUUGUAUGAAUAAAAUAUUAAUAAUAUUAUUUUUCUUGUACUUAUGUUAUUUUUAAAUCUUUUUAUAACUAAUAUAUAUUUUGUAUUUCCAUAUCAAAUAUCAAGUAGAUAAUUCAUUUACCCCUCUUUUCUUUUAAAUUUUUAGUGUUAGGAGGUUAUUAAAUAUUAUGAUAACAGUGGGGAAAUAAGUGAUGAGGAGAAAAUCUAGCAAUCUCUCUAUUUUAUAUGAGUUGCAUGUUUUGAAAGAAAAGCUUACCUUACCGAUAGUGCAAGAGCUGUAGAGUGUUGACUCUUGGAUUAAAACAUGAGCUCCAAAAACUUUGGAAGUGACGAAAACCUAGGUCUAGGGUUUGAGAAUUCUAAUCUGCCAACGUUGCAAGAGGACAAGACAACUAAGAAGGCCCGGUUUUAGGGCUGAAGGAACCGAUGCUGAUAAUCCUUAUAAACCCUCUUGGAGAGAUAAGGAGAUUAAGGCAGUCAUGGUGAUGGCAAGUCAGACGGAGAGUGUAGAGGAAGAUUGGGAUAUUGAAGAUGAAGAUGUGGUUGAGAGAAUAGAGGAGGGUAUCCCUGCAAUAUACUUCUCCAAAAGGGUGCAAGAGAAACUGCAACAGCCAUGGCGUUACUCUGUAAUAGUUAAAUUGUUGGGACGACAGAUUGGCUAUCGGGUUUUAUGCAAUAGGUCAGAGGUCCUAUGGCGGUCGAUGGUAGCUUGCCGUACAUCCGCCUUGGCCGUACAGCAGAUAAAUCCUAGUUAAAAUAAAAAAUUUUAAAUAAUAAAAAUAAGAAAUAUAGGUUUUUGUAUGAAUAAAAUAUUAAUAAUAUUAUUUUUCUUGUACUUAUGUUAUUUUUAAAUCUUUUUAUAACUAAUAUAUAUUUUGUAUUUCCAUAUCAAAUAUCAAGUAGAUAAUUCAUUUACCCCUCUUUUCUUUUAAAUUUUUAGUGUUAGGAGGUUAUUAAAUAUUAUGAUAACAGUGGGGAAAUAAGUGAUGAGGAGAAAAUCUAGCAAUCUCUCUAUUUUAUAUGAGUUGCAUGUUUUGAAAGAAAAGCUUACCUUACCGAUAGUGCAAGAGCUGUAGAGUGUUGACUCUUGGAUUAAAACAUGAGCUCCAAAAACUUUGGAAGUGACGAAAACCUAGGUCUAGGGUUUGAGAAUUCUAAUCUGCCAACGUUGCAAGAGGACAAGACAACUAAGAAGGCCCGGUUUUAGGGCUGAAGGAACCGAUGCUGAUAAUCCUUAUAAACCCUCUUGGAGAGAUAAGGAGAUUAAGGCAGUCAUGGUGAUGGCAAGUCAGACGGAGAGUGUAGAGGAAGAUUGGGAUAUUGAAGAUGAAGAUGUGGUUGAGAGAAUAGAGGAGGGUAUCCCUGCAAUAUACUUCUCCAAAAGGGUGCAAGAGAAACUGCAACAGCCAUGGCGUUACUCUGUAAUAGUUAAAUUGUUGGGACGACAGAUUGGCUAUCGGGUUUUAUGCAAUAGGUCAGAGGUCCUAUGGCGGUCGAUGGUAGCUGGUUUCUCCAUCAUUGAUCUAGAAAAUAAUUACUUUUUGGUCAAGUUCCAAACUACAGUUGAUGCUGAACGUGCCCUAACCGAAGGACCAUGGACUGUUAUGGGUAGAAACCUUUUUGUUCAACCUUGGACGCCGAAUUUUGAUUGCUUCUCUAAUGAACUUACUUCGACUGUGGUAUGGGUACGAUUGCUAGGCAUGACGAUCCAAUAUUAUGAAAAACGUAGCUUGCGACGACUUGGCAACAAAAUUGGAGAAGUUAUUAAAAUUGACUAUAAUACAGAGGACUCUAAAAGAGGGAAAUUUGCAAGGCUAGCAGUAAGGGUUUCUCUUGUGAAACCUUUAGUCUCGUAAAUUAAGGUGAAUGGGUAAAUCCAAUUGGUGGAGUAUGAGGGGCUUCCAAUGAUAUGUUUCUCCUGUGGAAAAUAUAGACAUGUUAUAGAGGAUUGUGGGGAAAAGAAUAUGGUGGAGACUGGUACAGUUAAUCUAGUGGAGAAUAAUGCACCAGUGGUGGCCAACGAGAAGAAUAAUAGAGUAGUUGAAAUGGGAGCGAAGAAGUUUGGUCGUUGGAUGGUUGUAUCACGCAAAAGCAAACCAAGAAAUUAUGCUGGCAAGAAUUUUUCUCAUGGCACAGUCGAGGAGCAGCCGAUUGUGCAUCAAAGUAAAUCUCGCUUUGACGUGCUUGCAUUGCAAGAUUCAGGGGACAAUGAACACCAGCAUGUGGCUACUGAAACUCAAGAAAAAGAGACCAGCCAUGCAGACCCAAAAUAGUCACGUAAACACUAUGCCUUGCAACCCCAUGCACCCAAAUUCAAACGUAAACACUCCGCAAGAAUCUUAUCAAAGAUUGCCAACAAGGGCAAGUCUUCUACUGCAGCCAAAGAAACCAGAAACAAUAAGAUAACCAUGCACCCUAAAUUCGACACACAAAACCAUGUGGCGAAUCCCAAUGUGGCUACAACGUCAACCAUGCCACUCGAAACCCAACCCAACACCAUGAUAAAUCCUUAUCAUGUACCUACAACCCUUGACCCCCUAAAGCAUAUGACUAUUGUCUUCCAUAACCCAAGGAAUAAGCCUAUAGGUACCCAGGAGAUGGAUGGUGCCAAUCUACAUCAUUCGAGUCUGGGGACCAAGGGUCAACCAUUACCUCAUUCGGGAGAUCCUCCAGAUUUACACGGUGGUGAUACGGAUCUUAAAAAGGAGGCUGAUCCGACUUAUGUAGAGGAUGAAGAUACAACGGAUGGUGAGGACUAUUUUGUGGAGGAUACGCCAAUGAAUAAGGAGGAUACGAUCCAUGGAUCCAGCCAGUAAGGAAAGAUCUACCCCUUUUGUAUUUUCUUAUGAUUAUGUCGAUUUCAGUCAUGUUUUGGAAUGUUCAAGGGGCGGGGGCCUCAGAUUUAAGACUUUCUUUUGAUGCAAUUAUUCAAUGCUAUAACCCGUCUAUUGUGGUGAUGCUUGAGCCAAGAAUUAGUGGCCAAAAAGCUGACAAUUUCAUUCGGGGCUGUGGUUUUGAGAGAUCCCACAGGAUCGAGGCGGUGGGUUUUUCUGGAGGAAUUUGGAUUCUAUGGAGGGACUUUAUUACAGUAGAAAUAGUUUUAAAUCAUAAGCAGUUUGUUCACUUUAAGAUUAUAUCUAGCAAUGGUUUGGAGAGUUGGGUGACUGCAGUGUAUGCUAGCCAUAUUCCAACAGUCCGGUGAGAAUUAUGGCAUCACCUUGCAAACAUUGCUUCUCAAAUGACGGACCCGUGGUUGGUGGGCUGAGAUUUCAAUGUUAUCUUAUACGCACAUGAGAAGAAAUGGGGCUCUAACCGAACAAGUGGCAUUUGUAAUUUAUUUAAUCAUUAGUUUCAUUCUUAUAAGAUGAUUAAUCUAAAAUUUUCAGGCCCUCGUUUCACUUGGUCUAGGGGAAACCUUUCUAAACGCCUAGACAGAGUGAUUUGUAAUGAUGAAUGGCUAAUCAAACAUGCAAAUAGUAGUGUCAUGCAUCUUCCAAAAAUUAAUUCCGAUCAUCGGCCUAUUCUAGUCAAAUUCCAGAACGUGGAUUCAAGGAAUGGGGGCCCGAGGCUGUUCCGGUUUUUGGCUGCAUGGCUGAUGGAUGAGAGGUUUGGGAGUUUUUUGAAUGGCAGCUGGAAGAAGGGAGCUAAUUUUCUCGAUGCAGUGGCUGACUUUACUAAACAAACAAUGAGAUGAAACAAGGAAAUUUUUGGAAAUAUUAUCUAUCGAAAGCAAAAUUUGUUGGCUAGAAUAAGUGGGAUCCAAUGAAUUUUGGAAACUAAGCCUAAUCAUAGCCUUAUUAGACUUGAAGUUAAACUUUAGAAGGAGCUCGAAGAGGUUCUCACUCAAAAAGAGUUACUGUGGCUUCAGAAAUCCAGGAGAGAUUGGACUUUGUAUGGUGACCGCAACAUUACCUAUUUCCAUAAAAAAAACUCUAACCAGGCGUCGUCAGAAUCAGAUUAUUGCGAUUCAAAAUGAGACAUGUCAAUGGAUAUACGACGUCGAGAUCAUUAAGCAGCUUGCAGGAAGAUUCUUUUCGAAAUUAUACACUCCUGAACAAGGGGUGAAUAGCCCGUAUACUGUCAGGGGGUGUUUCCCUAUGAUCUCUGAUGAUAUUUGCUUAAGUUUGAUGUCUACUGUAACAAAUAAGGAAGUUAGACGAACUAUUUUCAGGAUGAGUCCCUUCAAUGCCCCCGAAGUUGAUGGAUUUCAUGCUGGUUUUUACUUAGCGCAAUGGAGUACAAUUGGUAUAUCGUUGUGCUCUUUCAUUAAGAAUAUUUUUAAUUCUAAUCAUAUCACUGCAGAGAUCAACAGAACCUUACUGGUCCUUAUCCCUAAAGUUGAUCAUCCAACAAGCCUUAAGAUGUUUCGGCCGAUCAGCCUUUGCACAAUUUCGUAUAAGAUGGUGAUGAAAAUUAUUGCAAACAAGCUACAGGCUCUUCUUCCAUAUCUCAUUGGACCCCAACAAACCAGUUUUGUAUCGGGUCGACAUAUUACAGAGAAUAUUGUUAUUGCUCAAGAAGUGAUUCAUACAAUGAAAAAAAAAGUGGGGGUUAAAAGAAUAAUGGCGGUUAAAGUUGAUUUGGAAAAGGCAUAUGACAGGCUGAGUUGGUGCUUUAUUCAGGAAACUUUAAAGGAAGUUGGGCUACCGGAGUGAUUUAUUCAUCUCAUAAUGAAGUGCUUGUCCACAGCCCAAAUGAAUGUUUUGUGGAACAGAGCAAUGACUGAAGAUUUUCGGACAAGGAGAGGAAUUAGACAAGGAGACCCUAUUUCACCUUAUAUUGUUGUGCUUUGUAUUGAAAGAUUAAGCCAUGGUAUUAUUCAGGCGAUUAAUCAAGGUAGAUGGAAGCCCAUUCGGCUGACUAGAAUUGGCACCCCGCUAAGUCAUUUGUUUUUUACGGAUGACCUGCUUCUCUUCUUGUAAGCAAAUUACGCCCAAGUUGAAGUGUUGAAUGGCGUGUUGGAGAAUUUCUGCAGGAGCUUGGCACUAAAGUGAGUAAACAGAAAACCCAAAUUUUCUUCUCCAAAAAUGUCGCGGUCACUUUAGCUAGUAGAAUUGGCAAGGCUUUAGGCUUCUCGAUUACAAAUAAUUUGGAAAGAUAUCUUGGCAUGCCUCUUUUACGUGAUCGGGUUUCUAAGAAAACGUAUCAGAGUACCAUUGACAAAAUUGAUCAGAGGCUAUCAGGAUGGGCAACCAAGCACUUGUCUUUGGCAGGGCGAAUUACUCUUGCUCAAUCGGUGCUUCAGGCGAUUCCGAUUUAUGCUAUGCAGACCACGUAUCUCCCGUCUAGUGUCAGAGUUAAAAUUGAUCAACUUUGUAGAAGAUUCAUAUGGAGUGGGGCUGGACCUCAACGUAAGCUAAGCCUGGUUAGCUAGAACAACAUUUGUAGACCCAAAAGUAAUGGAGGGCUUGGCUUCAAGGACAUGGAAAUUAUGAAAAAAGCCUUAUUAAUGAAAGUGGCUUGGGAUUUAUUCAUAAAUCCUAACAAGCUAUGCUCCCAUGUUUUAAUAUCUAAAUAUGUUGCGACUAAUGAUAUGCUUAUUACUGAUGUUCCAACUAAAAAUGGUUCCUAUUUAUGGUGUUCUAUGGGUAAGAUUUGGAAAGAUUUCCAAAAGGGUUUGCGUUGGAGUAUUGGAAAUGGCCAAAGGGUGAAGUUUUGGGAUGAUAUUUGGGUUACUAAUGGUGAUACCUUAAUAAACUAUACAGUGGCUUCAAUUCCUGAUAGCAUGCGAAAUAUGUCGGUGGCGGAAUGUGUUGAUCAAAAUGGGAAUUGGUUGUGGAACAAAUUCAGUUCUUUGUUGAAUAACCAUGUUGUUUUAAGGAUUGCUUCCAUGGCUUCUCCGUCGGCAAUGAGAGGUGAUGAUAGGGUGUAUUGGGGUGCUUCAAAUACGGGAAUUUUUACAGUCCAAUCAGCUUAUCAUGUGCUUACAAAUCCUUCUCCCGUUGAAGACAGUCAAGACUGGCAGAAUUUAUGGCAAUGGAAAGGGCCUCAAAGCGUAAGAAUUUUUUUAUGGUUAUUAUGCCAUGAUCGAUUGACGACGGGAUAUGAGCUUGCUAGAAGGCAUCUGGACAUUGAUCCAUUAUGUGAGAGGUGCCAUGCAGAAGUUGAGAGUUCUUUGCAUGCAAUCCGGGACUGUGCAUACUCGAAAAGUGUGUAGAGGAAGCUUGUUCUCGUGCCUAGACAACAUGACGUUUUUAGUUAUCCUCUUCAGCAAUAGCUCAUGACGAAUCUUAGGAGAAGGUCCUGUGAUAUGGGGAGUUUAUAUUGGCAGGUUAUGUUUGGUGUUGCUACUUGGAGAAUUUGGUUUUGGAGGAAUCAGGUGAUGUUUAACAAUAAGAGAUGGAAUGGUGAUUUGAUCGUUCGAGAUAUUAAGGCAAGGGCUGAGAAUAUUUGUUCUACCCUCUCAAGCAUAGUCUAUAAAAGAAAUUCAAAGAUUCAGAAAUGGAUUAGUUGGGCUCCUCCACCAUGGCCUUUUUUGUGUUUAAAUACGAAUGGUGCAAGAAAAGGAAAUGGAGAUGCGGGUGCAGGCGGUCUGUUACGAGACUAUCAUGGUAGAUUCAUGCAUGGAUUCAGCGUAAAUCUGGGAGUGUGUUCGGUUAUAAAGGCUGAAGUUUGGGGCAUUUUGCAUGGGUUAAGAAUGGUAUGGGACCUUGGCUAUAGACGUAUCCAAGUUGGAAUAGAUAACUGUAGUGUGGUGCAGCUUCUAAAGGAGAAUAAUGCUAAUGUCAAUGAACUUUCGACUAUAAUCGAGAUGAUUAAGGAGCUCAUGAGGAGGGAUUGGAGUAUUCAAAUUGAUCACAUUUACCGCGAACCAAAUUCGGCGGCUGAUUUCCUUGCUACGCAUGCUUUGAGAUUGCCUGUUGGAGUGCAUUUUUUUAAUUCUGUCCCUUUAGGUUUGAGUCCUAUUUUGUAUUCGGAUAUGUAUGGGGUGGCACAACCCCAUUUUGUGCCCUCUAGCUCUUCUCUUUUAGAGCCCUCUUUUUAUCAAAAAAAGAAAAAGAAAAGCUUACCGGAAUUGAAGAGAAAUUUGGAUUUAAUUGAGCUCGUUGAAAGCAGAGAAAGAAAUUAUCCUCUUUGAAAGUGAGAGAAGCAAUGGCUACAUGAAAUAAGGAGAAAAAAAAAAGAAAAUUCACUCAGUCGACUGGUAUACACCAUGCAUAAAGAUUAAGUGUAGAGAUAAAUUUUUUGUGAGUAUUGAAUCAAUGAUUAUAAUGUAAAAGAAAUAAAAAGAUAUUAUACAUAAAUUAAUCCUUCUUAUUUGGCAACUAAACAUGGACCCAAUUUUAAAUUGCAAUUAAUCCAGACGUAAACUGUUGUGAAAAUUUUAAUAUACUCGCAAGCGCACGAAUCUAGAAAUAGAAUGGUGGUAACGAGGUCGAUCCCACAGGGAUUGUUAUAAAUUAAAAAGUCUAAUUUAAAUCUAAAAUUAAUAUUAAUUCUAACCUAGUUGAGCAAAUUGAGUUUUUAAGAAAAUUAAACCAAUUAAACUAAGGAAGCAAUUAAAAUAAAGGAGAAUUCAAUAAGAUAAGAAUUACCAAGGUUUCAGAAUCCACCACUAUUCAACUAGUAAUUAUCUAAUUAUUAAUUAAUCCCCAAUUUUAGAGUGACAACUCGAAAUCAAUCUAUGUCAUCUCAUGGAUAUAACAAUUAAGCCCAAAUAAUUAAAUCUAAUGUAAGUUCUUUUUCUGCUUAAACAGUCAUUUACUCUAUCUAAAAUUCUCAACUCAGGCUAUGUCAAUAUCAAAUUUCAAGUCAAAAUUACAAAAGAAUUGAUAUUAGUGCUCAGGGUUUAAAAAAUCUCAAUCAAGAGGAACUAACACAAGAAUCAAGUAUAAACUAAGACAAUAUUCAACCCUUUUUAAGAACCAUAUUCAUUGUCAAUCAAAUUCUUAUCAUUGGCUUUUCACAUAAAAACAAAAAAACAACAAUUUUUUUUUUUUGAAUUUUUGAAUUUUUUGAAUUUUUUUUUUUUGGUUUUUUUUUUUAACAAACAAAGCACACACUAUCUGCUGUACCGUACAUCCGCCUUGGCCGUACAGCAGAUCGAAUAUUAAUCCUAACAAUCAAUAAUGCAUGACAGAAUUGAUGAAAAGAUUUUAUUAACAUCCAAUUAAUCAUGUGAAAUAAAAACCAUAAUCAUCAAAGAACAUAUAUAGGGAAUUAAUUAAAUAAAAAGAUAUAAUUAUUUCAUUGAAUAGGGUUUCAUCCUUAACCUCAGUAUAAGAAAAUUAGUUAGACAUACUUGAAUUGGGAGCAACAAAAUAAAUAAAUUCAGCCAUGGGGAAGCCGAAUUGCUGCAGAUUUUCUUCUCUGUCUUGAAUCCUUGCGUCUGCAGUGCAGUUCUCCCUUCUGGCGGCUCUCUCUUCUUCUUUCCGUCCAGCCACUCCCUCCAAAAGCAAAAACUCUCUUUUAUAAUAUUUAAAAUGGACCCCACCUCUUAAAUCCUAAAGCCAAAAGGCUUGGCCUUUUACUUGAUUUGCUCUCACACGUGAUCACUCUUAGAAUUGCUUUAGGAUUCCUUUUGUAAUUAUGAAAGCCAAGUGUGGGUCCCUUUAAAUUGCUUCCAAAUAUUAGAAUGCCAUGCAUUUG
This 13885-nucleotide long non-coding RNA is filed under the name Citrus sinensis (sweet orange). Its description in RNAcentral is "long non-coding RNA (CSIN_LNC001729)". Lineage: Eukaryota; Viridiplantae; Streptophyta; Magnoliopsida; Sapindales; Rutaceae. The record is from RNAcentral.